UACGGCAGCCAUAUCACCCUGUAGCCCAAGACUGGUUGCCCACUGAAGCUAAGCAGGGCUGAGCCUGGUCAGUACCUGGAUGGGAGACCUCCUGGGAAAACUAGGUUGCUGUUGGAA
Molecule: ribosomal RNA, 117 nt
Filed under: Sinocyclocheilus rhinocerous
Lineage: Eukaryota; Metazoa; Chordata; Actinopteri; Cypriniformes; Cyprinidae
Source: RNAcentral